AGAAUCAACGCUGGCGGCGUGCCUAACACAUGCAAGUCGCACGAGAAAGGGACUUCGGUCCUGAGUACAGUGGCGCACGGGUGAGUAACACGUGAAUCAUCUACCUUCGAGUGGGAAUAACUGAGAGAAAUCUUAGCUAAUACCGCAUAAUACCUACGGGUCAAAGCAGCAAUGCGCUUGAAGAGGAGUUCGCGGCAGAUUAGUUAGUUGGCGGGGUAACGCCCACCAAGGCAGCGACGGGUAGC
Molecule: ribosomal RNA, 245 nt
Filed under: uncultured bacterium
Lineage: Bacteria
Description: partial small subunit ribosomal RNA
Rfam family: Bacterial small subunit ribosomal RNA
Source: RNAcentral